CUUUGAGAAAGUAGCAAGGCUCUGAACGCCAGUAAAUUCUGUUGAGUUGAGCUGCAGUCCAGCAGGUCGUAUCUACAUCUACUUGCUUUGAUUGGUUGGACACUUCCAGUUGCUGUGUAUUACCCUUCAGGGGUCAGCUCACUUAAUUAAUGAGCUGCAUAAACCAUUUCAUCAAUUUUCCCACUGUGGAUGGGAUUACAGGAAAGAAUCUCUUUGUCUUUCUCUGCUUUCUUUCAUGCUCUGGACCAGGUUGUAAAAUAGGUAAUUUAUGCCAGGGGUUACAGAUUACAUGUUUAUUUAGCUAACCGAGUGCGUUAAUAAGACCCUGCGGGGGGCUAAAUGGUUUUCCAGAUCUGAAGGAUGCUGAAAAUCUUUGCCCAAAUGUAGCAAUUUAUGCAGGUUUUGGUGCUCCCCUUAUGCAACCCCAGGUAGAAAAGCAAUCAAUACUCACGGUAUUAAAUGCUAACCUGGCUAGUGACCUAUUGGUGUCGUCAUCUUCAAAGGCUUUCUAGUUCUUUUGAUUUUAUUUCUGGGGGCACAGGAGAAAGCUGAACUGUGUAAUUAAUUCAAUAAGCUACAAGUCGGCGAGCUGUGGCACCCCUGAUUGCCUCCUUCACCCGAUGUGGGACUCCGGCUGAAGACACUGUCUUCUCCGUGGCUGUCUUGGCUGCUGUUGCUCUGAAUUCCUCCUCUGUAAUCCCUAACUUUCAUUUUGCACUGAUGAGGAGGGGGAAAAUGAAACUAUGGGAGGGUUGGCUGACCCCUUGGACGUUUUCUCUAUAUCUCGGCAAAGCUGUAGGAGUGACGCAAGUGGACAGAUAGCACCUGGAAUGUCUUUGCUCUCAACAUAAGCAGGUAAAUUGCCUUCCUCCCAUUUGAAGUCCAAACCACACCCUCAACAUCCUCCUUUGUCUUUAGCUGAAGAUAGUAUUUAAAUUGGUGACUUCAGACAUUGUGACUCUUCUUUCAGUGAAGUGCAUCCAUGUGAUUGAUUCUCACCAAUGUGGGCAGAGAGAUGUGUGUCGCUUCUCACCCUUCUCAUCCAUUGACUGAAUGCAGUGGACUUUCAGACCAUACAGAAGCCUGAAUCCUCAAGAGGAAGUGGCAGCUGUGGGAAUGUGCCUCUCAGAUCUCUGAGUAUGAGGAACGAGGUUGACUGAGGACCCCAGCUUCUAUGCUCUGAAAACUGUCGCUGUCUUCACACCAAGGCCAACUGUCAACCAUGCUGCCUGAAUAGUGACUGAGCUCAGCAAAGAUGCCAUGGCAGGCUCAUUCCUGAGAGAUGUGGGGCUUCUCUACGAGAGACUUUGACUUGAGGACUCCCUGUAGAUCUUGAGGAAACUUUCUUGAAUUGCCCAGAAUUCUAAGACUUUUCCUACCCAGUCUUUUUUCUCCUUCCCUCUCUCCUUUCAGAGGUCAGAAUUGCAUCAUGGUCAGAUGACUUUAGGGCCUCCUCCAGUUCCCUACACAUUUUUCCUUACCAAAUUUUCCUCAAUCUCUAAAAGGUCGAAUUCCAUCUUGGCAUCUGCUUUUCAGAGGACUCGAACUAACAUAAGUGAUGCGAAGAAUGGUAUAAGAUAAUGGGCAGUAAGAUGGGGUUCAUGGACUGGCAAAGAAGAUACCAUCCUGAGUCUCUGACACACAGUUCAUUUGCUAAAUAUUGUACUGGUAGUGAUGGGGAAAAGCAUCUUUGUGGAGGAAAAUACCCUUGUAGGUAUGAUGAUUCGGGCAUACGGAAGGUGAGAGGAGAGCAAUGCCCACAAAGGCAGUGGAGUGGUGGUUAAGGUUAUUGCUAAGUUGUAUUGACACUCUGCAGAGAGCUAAUAAAGAACCAAAGACCAUUAACAAACAGGUAAAGUCUUCAGGGUGAGAACCAGAGGGUCUCAUUGGGAGCUUACAAAGAGGCUUCUACCUCCUGCCGUGGAAGAGGGGACACAGCUGAGCAGCAGACAGUAAACAUAAGAUCUAGUAGAAUUUCAGAGCUCCAGAGACUUUAAAUACUCAGGUGGGAAGAUCUGUAAUGUUAAAGUUGGCCCUGGUUGAGAAAACUAGAGACCCUGAAACAUGGAACAGGGUAUCUUGAUAGAUGGCCUAAGGGAUGUUGGUUCUCCAGGUCCCUCUGAACCCUCAGAGAUCACAGAGGUGGAACUUCCCCUGUGUUGUGCUGGAAGACACUGUGGAAGCCCUUCUCCCCCUCAGCAGAUGCCCUCUCUUCCUCUCCUGGCUGGUAGGCUGGUGACUAGUGUCAAAUCCCUGCAUAAAAUGACUGGCCUAUUGCUGGGCCUGAUAAGAGAGGAAAGAGAUUAAUCAAA
RNAcentral lists this long non-coding RNA (2312 nucleotides) under Equus caballus (horse). RNAcentral's name for it is "lncRNA (ENSECAG00000045025.1)". The record is from RNAcentral. Lineage: Eukaryota; Metazoa; Chordata; Mammalia; Perissodactyla; Equidae.